GGGUUGGUUACCGUUGAGCCACAAUGGGAACUCCUUGAAUUGUAUUUCUAUUGGACAGUGCUGCUCUAGACACCCCAGGCCGCGGGGCUGAGUGCUCAGUGCUGGGUGCUGAGUGACCGCUGCCCCUUCCCAGACACAGCCCCCCCACUCCCUUCAGGGGUGCCUCAUCCACUGGAGUUCCUCAGGCUCAGUCCCCGCAGGCAGGAGCGUUUUGGCUUGGGCAUGAGCUCUGAUUAGUUGCGGGGCUUCUGGAAUAAAAUCCUUUCCUUUUCCCCUAGGACAGUCUUUCAAAUAUUUAAGACAAGGAUCUCCCCUGCUCUCGGCCACGGACUUGCCGUCCCCUGUUCCUCAUGCAGCACGAUUGUGAGCUGGGGAAAACCCUGGAGGCAGGGGUCUCACGCAUCCUGGCUUCUACGGCAGCUCAGAGAGGGGAGGCGACCCACCCGAGCCCACACAGCGAGGGGUGCCAAGGUGCCCUCCACCAAACACAAGUACCAGGAGGAAAGGCUUAUUGCACAGCGCCCGGCACACACCAAGGCAGCGCAGUCCUGCUGAUUCUCUCUGCUUCCAAGUCCUUCCCUCAGACUGCAACUUCUGCCUCUCCUCCCUACCCAGCUCUUUCCUCUCCAUUGUGAAAAAAGAAUUGGGGCGUUCCCGUCAUGGCUGAGCGGAAACAAAUCUGACUAGUAUCCAAGAAG
This is a long non-coding RNA of Phacochoerus africanus (Common warthog), 698 nucleotides long. RefSeq lists it as uncharacterized. NCBI's taxonomy places the organism in Eukaryota, Metazoa, Chordata, Mammalia, Artiodactyla, Suidae. The record is from RefSeq and is a predicted model, not a curated record. The transcript has 3 exons.